GACGAACGCUGGCGGCGUGCUUAACACAUGCAAGUCGAACGGAAAGGCCCUGCUUUUGUGGGGUGCUCGAGUGGCGAACGGGUGAGUAACACGUGAGUAACCUGCCCUUGACUUUGGGAUAACUUCAGGAAACUGGGGCUAAUACCGGAUAGGAGCUCCUGCUGCAUGGUGGGGGUUGGAAAGUUUCGGCGGUUGGGGAUGGACUCGCGGCUUAUCAGCUUGUUGGUGGGGUAGUGGCUUACCCAGGCUUUGACGGGUAGCCGGCCUGAGAGGGUGACCGGCCACAUUGGGACUGAGAGACGGACCAGUGUCCUACGGUAGGCAGUAGGGGGGAAUAUUGUACAAUGGGCCGAAGCCUGAUGCAGCAACCUCGCGUGUGGGAUGACGGUCUUCUGGUUGUAAACCGCUUUCGCCUGUGACGAAGCGGUAGUGACGGUAAUGGGUAAAGAAGCACCGGCUAACUACGUG
RNAcentral lists this ribosomal RNA (468 nucleotides) under uncultured bacterium. RNAcentral describes it as "partial 16S ribosomal RNA". It matches the Rfam family "Bacterial small subunit ribosomal RNA", at positions 28 to 507 of the family's 1533-position model. The record is from RNAcentral.